This 105-nucleotide small RNA is filed under the name Deinococcus gobiensis I-0. Its description in RNAcentral is "hypothetical noncoding RNA". Lineage: Bacteria; Thermotogati; Deinococcota; Deinococci; Deinococcales; Deinococcaceae. The record is from RNAcentral.
UCGGAGGCCCAUCGGGAGCCACUUAUCAGCAAGGAAAUUUACCGGAUUCUGCUUGCUCUGAUCGCAUUGAUCGCGCUUUUCCUCAUUCUCGUUGUGACAUCCAGA